This is a long non-coding RNA of Panicum virgatum (switchgrass), 1134 nucleotides long. RefSeq lists it as uncharacterized. NCBI's taxonomy places the organism in Eukaryota, Viridiplantae, Streptophyta, Magnoliopsida, Poales, Poaceae. The record is from RefSeq and is a predicted model, not a curated record. The transcript is spliced from 3 exons.
GAUCGCUGCUGGGUGAUGGCUGGACCCGGCGGUGAGUGCCAUCAACACCGCCGGCUAGUGUCUGACCCGGCGGUGAAGCCGUGAACCACAAUUAUCCAUCAAAAUCGGCCUGCUCGCGCCUCACCCUCCCAAAAUUUCCCAGAGCCCGCGCACCUGCGCCCCAGAUCCCUGCCGCCGACGCCCCCGACCCCGACGCCGCCUCACCGCGCAUCUGCGGCCGCGCCGCCCGCGAGGAGGUCCAGCGUGGUCCGCCCCGAGCCCCUCGUACUGUCGGACCGCCCGCGAGGAGGUCCGGCGCCGCCGGCCCCGAGCCCCUCCUGCUGCCGCGCCGUCCAGCGAGGAGGUCCGGCACCGUCCACCCCGAGACCUUCCUGCUGCCGCGCCAUCCCGCGAGGAGGUAUGGCGCCGCCCGCCCAGAGCCCCUCCUGCUGCCGCGCCGUCCUGUGCAGAGGCGCGCUGCCGGCCGCAGUUCCUCCUGCUGCCGCGCCGCCGUCCGCGAGGAAGUCCAGCGCCGCUCGCCAUCCCUGCGCACGCCGCGUGCCAUCGCGAGGAGCAAGCUUGUUUGUUACAAGCUGCAAUGUUUAGGGUUUCUCAUCAUAUCGAAGCGGUGAAUAAAAUGGAAUUAGCUGCUGCUGCUGCUCUCUAGCAAUGAAUAAAGUGGAAUUAGCUGCUGCUACUGCUCUCAUGCAAUGAAUAAAAUGGAAUUAGCUGUUGCUGCUUUUGCUACUCUCUUGCAAUUUUGCUUUGUAACUACUCAACUGUUGAAAGAUAAAUUUACAAAGAGAAAGCUUUUUGUUAAACUUUAUUUUAGUAGCUUUUUGUUAAACUUUAUUUUAGUAGUUCAUGUCAUUUCUCUUUGUUGAUUUAAGGUUAUGAAUUCACAGGUAUAAUAGGGCGAUUUUCAUGAUUCAAGUCAAGUCUCGUUGUGGGAAACAAGUUAGAAUAAUGCGGAGAAUGAUGAUGGAGGGGCCCGUGGUAAUUGUGAAGGUAGAGAAGGGGAUGUAAACAAUCUUGAUGUAUGAACUCUUUUUGAUGUAUGAACUCUUUUGUUUAAUCUCAAUGUCCUUUUGUUUAAUCUCAAUGUCCGAGUUGUUUGGUUGAAUUAUGCUAAUAUAAUUAUAUAUGCUUUAAAAA